AUUACAAAUUACAAAUGCAAACUAAAGUGAAUUUAGGCAGAUUAAUCAGAUUGAUUUAGGCAGAUUAAUCAGUUUGUUUUUCUGCUCCAGUUUUCAAACUGCCUCAUCUUUGUUCUGUGACGAAAAAAAAAAACCUGUUAUAUUUGCUCUGUCACAACUACAUGUGGAGUAGAGAGUCUUGUCAACGUUUUCCAAAAUCAAGUGAGUAGAAAUGCUUGGAGAAAUAUUUUCAGGUCUCAAGGGGUGUGCUGAGAGACGCAGGGGAUUCCAUCCAACUUGGUGACAGUACCCUGAUCCAAUGGCCUAAUUACGAGCGUUAAUCAUCAGGCUAAGUUUGAGGCACCUUUCACAAAGACUGUAGCGCCUCCUCAGUCUUCCAAGUCAAGAUAACAGAGUCCAAACUUUGAAAACCAUCCAGUUACCAUGGAGACGGUCCUGCUCCCGGACCAGUGGAGUAUGCCCAUCCUCAAGCCUCCAGACACCGCCGCGGGCCGCUGCCCUCAAAGAACCCACCACAGGCUGACAGGAAAUACUGUGCCAUGCACUUUCUUCCUCAUACUGUUUCAUCACCCUCCUAAAACUUGGAGGUUGGUAUGAUUAUUUUCCACAUCCUACAAGGGAAGACACUAAGACUAACUAGUUAAAUAUUCUGUCCCAAAUCAGUCAGUACGAGACAGGGCGGGGCUCGAGCCCUGGAAUCUCGAACCCCUGGUUCCUGGGGCGCCCCUCGGACGCGGGGUCCCAGGCGUGGGCUCUGCUCCGCUUGCCUCGCCACACGAAGGCCCUUCCACCCCGUCACGGACUCCAGGCUUCUUUGCGGGCCGGGACCGAGGGCCCGCGCCUGUGGUCGGGUCGCAAGACCCCGGCCGCCGCCAUCCCGGGCCGAGGCCGCCGCCCCGCCCCCGCUGGCUGCAGGCCCGGCGCCCGCCCCCCCGGGGUUUUCGCUUUCGCUUUCCCGCCGAUGUCGUUGAGGGAAACAGCGCAGCGGGGCCAGCUCAGGCGCAGCUGCCGUUCCCGGCGGGCGAGGGGCGCAGAGGGCGGCGGCGGCGGCGGCGGCGGCGGCCGAGGAGACCGGGCUGGGCCCGGCGCGCGGCGAGGUGCCAGAGUUUGCAGCCUGUUGGGGAAAACCAACAUCAAGGACCAGUGCUUUGAAUGGACUACAGCCCAAUGGGUCUGUCCCAGUGCUGCUCCUUUACUGAGACAGCACUGCGGAGUGCCACCCUGCUUGCUAUGCACAGCUGCUCUGUGGAUUGAAGAUGAAGAUUCGGUGGAGUGAAGGACUGGAGGACUCCUGUGACAUUUUACUGCAGGCAGGGAAGGUGAGUAGUGUGGGAAAAAGGAAUGGCAGAAACCACGGCCAAGAUCUGUCUGGACUUCAGGGGACUCGUGCACAUGAGCUUGGCAUUCUCUCAGGGUAUAGAUCUUGUUUUAUUUUUCCUCAUUUCCCAGAUCUGAUGCAGGCUUUGCCUGACAGUUAACAAACGGUGUCAAGUGGGUGUGCAGUGUGUGCUGUAGGAAAUAAGGGCUCACUAGGACCCUGCUGGACAGGCCUCCCACCGGCUCCCACUUCUCUGGAGGGCCUAGCAGACAGCCACCAGCAGGAGCAGCCUCUCAGGACGCCCAGAGCUGCUGCCUGCCAGCCCUUCGCACACGAGCCCUGCUGACAGGGCUCAGACAGGGUUCCUUUCUCCUCUCCAAGCUGAACGUGGCCAGUCCACAGUUCCUUAACAUACUGACUGUCCCUCCAGUCUGGAGAGGCACAGAAGGAUCCAGGUGUCGUCUGGACAGGCAGAGCAUGGAUGAGGAUUGAAGAUUUAGGUCUGCAUGCUUCCUUCGGCCGUCAGUGUGGCUUCCAGUGCUGCAGGAAGGCUCAGGGUUGCUGCCCGUUGUCUUUCUUGCUUUGGUGUUCUCGUGGCCUUUAUGUAGGUAUAUUGUGCUAUAAAACCUCAUGUUGUAGGGCUGGGGACUUAGCUCAGUGGUUCUGCCUCUUACCUUGUAAGUGCAAGGUCCUGAGUUCAAUCCCCAAUACCAAAACACCCCCCAAAAACCAAACCUCAUGUUGUAGUUCUUGUGAGCAGAGUAGUUUUCCCUCCACAAUCCUGGAAACUCCCCGAAGGCAGCUGGCUGGUGGUGGGCACUCCAUUAAAUGUUAGCUAGUACUAUUUGCUUUGUUAUUUUCUCAUUGCAAUGGAUGACGUUCAUAUCAUUUAAUGAGCAUGUGCUGUGUGCCAAAAACUGCUCGAUGCUGGAAUGCAGCCCUACCUGCGGAGCUCCCAGGCACUUGGGAAGACUGGUUGAUUGGAUGAUGAAUCCUGGUUGUAGUCCCUGUGAUGAACACCUCUGCUGUCAGACAUCACUGGCUGCCUUCUGUGUGCUCAACUUAGAACCGAGCCCAUUCUUCAGCGGCCGGAGGAUAUCCUGUGGAGCAGUGCAGCGCCCGGCCUCCCAUCCUGUGUGAACUGCAAGGCAGCGGCUGUGGCCCUGAGGCCCUCUUCUCUCCCAGGCCAGGCUGCGCCUCCUGCUCACAGUUCUACUUUUCCUAAGCCAAACUGGAGGCCAGGGCACCGAGAACGUCGAGAUGGCAUAUUUCCAGAGUGUGGAGGAGACAGACUGUACCGCAGGAGCCUGGAGCCAGGCCCCAAAGGUUCUGCUGGCUGUCCCAGGGGCCUGCCCUUACGACAGCCCACCCGGGACAUCUCGGAGCUUGUAUCUCUGCUCAUCAGAAGUUGGAGGAGUGGGUUCGAGGGGGCAGCUGUUUCCUAUAAAAAUGUCCAGUAGAGGUAAUGUCCUUGGGACAAACUCUUUUUUUUUCUAUACUGGGGAUGGAACAUACAGCCUUCACUCUGAACUGUAUCCUCAGCUCCCUUUAAAAAAAAAAAUUAUUUUGAGAAAGGGUUUUGAUAAGUGCUAAAUUGCCCAGGGUGGGCUCCAACUUGCAGUGCUGGCCUCCCAAAGUACAGGGAUUACUGCUGGACACGAUGCCCGGUUGGUCAUCCUUUUUUUUGGGGGGGAGGGUACCGGGGAUUGUACUCCAGACCUUGUGCUUUCGAGGCAGGCGCCGGAACCACUGAGCUAAAUCCCCGGCCCUGGUUGGUCAUCCUUUUUGACACCCAAGCUAAGGAGGCUCAUUCUGUGCCUGAGGCUCCAGUGUCUCGCAUUCUGCCCGCUGGAAUACGGUCUCUCAGAGGGGCUGUGGAGCCUCGUGUGGUCGACUCCAACCAAGGUGCAGGCAUUUGGGGAGCGUCGUCCCCAGGUAAUUCCUGUGUGUCCAUUUCCUGUUACUGAGACAAAUUACUAUAAACUUGGUGUCUUAGAAAAACACACAUCUAUUUUCUUAAAGUUCUGAGGGCCAGAAAUCCAAAAUAAGUCUCAGUGGGCUAAACUCAAGGUGUCAGCGGGAAUGUGUUAAUCUCCACCGAGGCUCUGUGCCUGUCCCAGGGUCAAGAGGCUCCACGCGUUCUGCCCUGUGGCUCCUUCCUCUGACUUCAAGUCCAGCAGUGGCUGGUCAGGACUUCCACAUAAUGCCAUCUCUCAGAUUCUACCUCUCCUGCCUCCCUCUUCCCUGUUUAAGGAGCCCAGUGAUUACAUUGGGCCCCCCAGACAAUUUCUCUGUUUCCCACUUCCAGCAACCUUAAUUCUCCAUUGCCACGUAUCAUGGCGCAUCCACAGGUCCCACCCACUUGGACGUGGACAUCUUUAUUCCACCAUGGACCGUUAUUUUGCACACCCAGCCAACCUCUCCUGUGGCUUUUCCAAGGGUCUCAUCCUCAGGCAUAGACAGUGGGCUGGGCCAGACCAGUCGGGAUGUGCCCACCACUGGCAGAGAGGUCCUUUCUGCCCAGACACCCUCCCUGCUUUAGCUCACCUCCUCUUCUCUCAUCCUCUGCUCCCCCUCUGGCGUAGAGGGAAGCUGGUGAGGCUAGAUGCGCCGCGGGAGCCCAGGGAGCUGAGCCCUCCCCGGCCAGACAGCCUGUCUUCCAGGGGCUGGAGCCAGAGCCCAGCCUUUGCGGUCGCGGACUCACAGUCUGAGGGCAGUUGCAGGGUCGGAGGGGCAGGCAGGCACAUAUCGGAGACACACGUAUCCCCUGUGCCUCUCGGCCUCCCUUCCUCAGGUGACAACAGCCUGUCUACCCUCCGGCACUCGGUGGUCCUUUUUGGGGCUGGGACCUUGAGAGGCUCCCAAGGAGGGGAGGCCCCCAUCAAAUCUGUCCCUGGGUACUGGUGAGGACCUGGGGGAUCCAGGACCCCAGCAAGAGGUCUCAUCAGCACAGCAGAGCAAAGCAGGAGGAGCUGGACAGGGCCUUCGGUCUUCAAGUAUGGUGACCAGUUGGGCUUGGUUUGCCUAAGACUUUCCCACUUUGAGCAGUGGGGGUCCAAGCCCUGGAACUCGGUCAGAGCAAACCGAGACAGCUGGUCACCCUGUCUCCAGGGCCUUUAUCACAUUCUCUUCCGCUCUGGGUCAUCUCCGCUGCUACACAGCCAGCUCUUUGGACUCCUGGAUACUAGAAAGACCUGGGGGCUGAGGAAGGACCCCAGGCCCACGCCAGAAAGGAGCAGGCUCUUGCCCCAGCAAGCCCGGCAGAGGAGCCAUCAACAGUGAAGACCAAGCUGGUGUCUGCGGGGCACAGAGCUCCCAGGAGCAGUGUGCGUAAGACGGUGAAAAGGAAACCUCUAAACACUUAGCAGCCUGGUCACUUCUGAGUGGUGGAUUGCAGGUGGCUUUCAUAAAUACUUUGAGUUCCCCCUCUGUAUUUCUUCCUCUCUGUACAAGUAAGCCAUGUUCUUUCUGUAUGUUUUUAAUAAAAGAAAGCCAGUGGUGACUCAGCCAUCCAUCUCCAGUCCUGCUGAGGGACACGAGCAGUUGUGCUGGCACCUGUGACCUUGGCUGUGGGCUGGUCAUGGCCCCAUUCUGCCCGAAGCUCUACUGCAAGGGCAGGGAAGCUACUCCUCCGUGUCCUUCGGCCCCACAGUGCACCCAGGGUCCAGCCUGGCUUGUUCCCUGAGUGAAGACUCAAAAGCCUGAUGUGCUCUCUCUUGGCAGAGCAGGGGUGCAGGUGCUGAGGACACACAGGAUGUGGCUGGCCAUUGGGAGAUGCUCUUGAGCACCACUCUGGACUGAGAAUGAUGGGGAGAGGAGCUCUUGCCUCCAGGCAGCUGGCACCUGGUUGGAGAGCUCGGGUUACCCCACAGACCAUGUGGCGCAUGGUGGACUGGAUGAGGCCUUGCCUGUGAGGAUUGUCCGAGGUCGCAUAGGGGAGACCCAGGAGCCUCACUGCACUUGUCUUAGAAUGGCCAGAGGCCAAAACAGGUUUUCUUGAGUGACCUGAGGCAGCCCCCCAAGCUCGGGGUAAAUGGUCUCCCCCUCCCAGAACUCGCUGCUGGACACUUUGUGACAGAAGAGUGGCAAGAACAGUCAGCAAGAUGUUCCACUCUUAGACAGCUGGGCACCCUUGGGCCCUCCUCCUUGCCCUCUCCCCUCGUAUUCUUUGGGAGUGCCAGGCUCUAGACUUCCUCUGGCUGCCUCCGUCUGGUCUCCUGAUACCAAGCAGUUCUCUCCACCCCAAGCCCAGCAAGAGCACUUGGAAGGGAGCCCUGGGUCUCCAGUAGAGGCAGCCACCCCUCCACCUCCUACAUACAGGGCCAGCAUUCCCCACCCUAGUCCACCCUAGUCCACCAUUGUCCUGGUGAGGCCAACAUGUGACCUUGUUCAUUGUUUUGGAAAAGUAGUAAGUGUUCUGGCCUAAUGAUCCCUCCCUAUUGAACCCAGAACCCAAGCACAACUCCAUGUUCACACAACUCCCUUGACCCAGGAAGUCAGCUUUCUCAGAGAAGCCUGGCAUGUGCUUCCCCCUCCUUGCCACACCCUCGCCCCUAAGCCAAGAUCCUGCUCUAUCCCUUCUCCCUAAGCAAAGCUGCAGCUGAGUGUUUUUACUACUUUCUUUUUUUUUUUUGGUGCUGGGGAUCGAACUUGGGUCCUUGCGCUUGCACAGCAAGUGGCAAAACCACUGAGUUAAAUCCCCAGCCCCUAAACUGAGUGUUUUUAAGUGCUAGGGAAGACCUUGCUAGUCCUGCCUCAAUUCUGGGCAGAUUUGGGAAUCUGAACGUGUGAGGGAAAAGUGAUAGCAGAAUUGGACACUCCCCACAUCCAUGUGGUUUUUAAGGGAAAGAGGACAGUAGGAACGGAGACAGGGAUUCAGGCCAGUUCAGGAUUCGGCCACACAAAGUAGUGAGGGCCCCAACCUGGCGACCUCUUGGCUGGCUAUGGAGGCUGGGCAGGCCUCCCCUGAAGGGAAGGUAGUAGUGAGCUCUGGUGUCUACCUGGUGUGGCAACUAGCAUCUGCCUUGGGUGCUGCAGUUUCUCAGGAAUUAGACCCACUAGAGGCACAGGGCCUGAGCCCGGCCCAAGGCUAGGAGUUAGGAUGCACCUCUGAGUGGUCCAGACCUCUGAGGGACCCCAGAGGCCAAAACCGUCUGGCCUAGGGCAGAAGAGCUGGCUUCGCAGACAGAAUUGUGUCUAAAAAGUCCCCUUUGACCCCUAGAGCUGAGACCUACCAGGCCAGAGUCCCCUAGAGAAAACGGACUGUGUAGCUAAGCUGCUCCCUGCUCUGAGGCCAAGUAUCAAGCCUGUCAGGUCACAGCCCUGGCCUUGGCCUUCAGAACUGCAUGCAGGUGGCCUCCCGGGUAGAGGUGGGGAAUCACUUCUCUUGGGGCCCAAGCCAAACUCCACCACACUGGGGCCCUGGGGCCUGUGGCGGCAGAGCCAUAUUGUCUGAAGUACCAGGAGGGGCCAGGGGCGCUGAUGCCAAGGCGACACAGCAGCUGAACCUUUGCUGUCUUCCGUCAAGGUCUCCAGAUGCCUUCUUGUCAUAGGUUCCUAGUGCCCUGUCCCUUGCCGGCACUCCCCAAAUUCCCCCCCAGGCUUCAGUUUCUUCCUUUGUAGGCAGCCUGAUCUUGUAGAACCCACCUGUGUUCUGGGCAUGGACAGGUGUGGGUUGGAAUCCAGCUGAGUCACCCGUCGUGGGCAAGCCCCUUGUGCGUGCUGAGCAUGGUUUCCUGGUCUGUGAAUGAGGCUGGGGGUGGGGAGCUGUGCCUGAGUGACAGUGCAAAGGGGAGCUUGGCACAGUCCCUGGUCCCAAGGGAACACUCGGGUCUGUUUCAUUAUCCAAGCAGAUCUGAGGUCUGCUCUAGUUCUGCUCCUUUCCAAGCUGCAGACUGCACUGAGCCCGCAGAAGUGGGGGCUUCUUCUGCAACUGCCCCCCCACCACCAGAAAAGCAGCAGAAAUGGACCUUUGGGAGCCGCCUGGAGCCAGGAAAACCACAGCCAGCCAGCUAGGUCUUCCUCAGACUCGACCCCACAAGGGAGCUCUGGCCGGCGAAGCCGCCUUCCACCCUGCCACGUACCUUCACCUCUGGAAAAGGAGCACACCAGCGCCCCAGGCUCUGGUUUCUGUAAGAGCUGGUGAAAGUGGGGAGAGACCAGUGCUGAGUUCAGAUGGAUUUUACACAUCUUCCGUGUGGAGAGUGAGUGGUUGCCUCAGUUAAGACACAGCAUCACGUAGGUCAGACGAAAGUUCCUUGUUGGAUGCUUCAGCAGGGCUGUGUGGAGGAAACUCCGACCCCAUGCAAGAGUGGAGUUUUGGGUCUGGGCCAACAGUGAGAAAGACGGCCCACUGGUCGCAGAGAAUGACAACUUGGGCAUGACCCAGCUCCAUGGACUAGGUGGCAUCACUCCCAGAGAAAAGGGCUCCACCUGCAACCAAGCUCAAGGCUUUUCCCAGGAUUUCAGCUGGGCCCUGGGCAGACCCCACUGGAGGCUUCCAGAGACCGGGAGCAAGCUCUUAUGUGUGGAGGCAGGGUGACCACAACACCCUAUACACGUGCAUGGAGAGAUGCUGAAAGCUGAUACUCUAAGAAGGGAUGAUUUUCACAUUAGCCUUCAGCUUUCAUCCUACUGCAAGUAGCUGAAUAAAUAAACCAACCCGAUUAAAGUAACACCUUUGGAAUAAAACAAGGAAACUCCUCUGGCUGAUGAGAAAUGCCCUCCAGUGUCUGUAAACUUGGUUCAUCAUGGGUGUGCCUGAGACUAGCUGGUGUACCUGAAAUCCCCCUUUGAUACUUUACCCCAUUGCAAAGUGGCCCUCAAUGACCAUAAUGUCACAGUAAUCCCAACAAAGCUCAUCUUUCAAUGACCUCCUAGCUCCUUCAACCAAGAACUUCCAUUCUGAGUGCUUAGAUUGAAAAUCUUGGGAAUUACCUACCCUUAGGAAGCACUGACAAGUCCUGAAUGAUCUUAAACUUUUAGGCCCAAAUUUGGUUCAGAUUAUACUGAGGCUGAUCCUUUCCAGACUCUGUUUGCUAAUGAGAUAGUCCCAGCUGCCAUCACCUUUAGGUCUGACUUCUAGGCCUGGGCCGAGGUUCACAGUGAGAUGUGAUGCGACAGCUCCCUAUCCUGUUAGGUCGGUCCCUAUCACACAUGCUCUUCCCUGGAGCCCAGCUGCCUUGCAAUUUUGGGUGCAGAGUUUUAGGUUCCUUCUCUGGACAUUCCAAU
Molecule: long non-coding RNA, 8548 nt
Filed under: Heterocephalus glaber (naked mole-rat)
Lineage: Eukaryota; Metazoa; Chordata; Mammalia; Rodentia; Bathyergidae
Description: lncRNA (ENSHGLG00000050715.1)
Source: RNAcentral